ACCAGAGUCAAGGAGACAUGGGCCAUUUGUCUCUCCAACGGAGUCUAUCCAGACAAAGUGGAUUCUUCAGCCUGUUUUGGAGGUCUGAGCCCGUUUCCCAAUGCUGUGAGACUUGGCUACAUGAUGUAUGUUACCAGGGAAUAUGUCUUCCUUUGUACUCGGAAGUGACUCUGCUGCCUAAUUUGGUGCCCAGCACUCAACAGCACCCGAAAGAGGGGAUUCUAGAUGUGGCAAAACCCAAGUCAGUGACAAACUCCCUUUUUGGAGGAAGCACAACUCUUGGCAUUCUGAUCAUUCUGGCAGAUGAUUUGGAGUGAGGUGGAGUCCAGUGAGGUUGUGUUACUGACCAGUCUUAGCCCCUAUUCUGACCCAGUCUCCCACUGCUCUACCAUAACUAUUCUGUUGCCAAGAUGCUAAAUUCCUUUGCUGCUUUCCCCUUCGUUGGGCAAAGGCCCAGUCUUGAUGAAAGGUAACCAACUUCUCCUCCUUUGCUUGUAUCUAAGCAGUAAAUUGUUGUUAAAACAUUGUACCCAUCUGAG
This 539-nucleotide long non-coding RNA is filed under the name Mustela putorius furo (domestic ferret). RNAcentral describes it as "lncRNA (ENSMPUG00000030507.1)". The record is from RNAcentral. Lineage: Eukaryota; Metazoa; Chordata; Mammalia; Carnivora; Mustelidae.